Molecule: ribosomal RNA, 253 nt
Filed under: uncultured bacterium
Lineage: Bacteria
Description: partial 16S ribosomal RNA
Rfam family: Bacterial small subunit ribosomal RNA
Source: RNAcentral
UACGAAGGGGGCUAGCGUUGCUCGGAAUCACUGGGCGUAAAGCGCACGUAGGCGGAUCUUUAAGUCAGGGGUGAAAUCCUGGAGCUCAACUCCAGAACUGCCUUUGAUACUGGAGAGCUUGAGUUCGGGAGAGGUGAGUGGAACUGCGAGUGUAGAGGUGAAAUUCGUAGAUAUUCGCAAGAACACCAGUGGCGAAGGCGGCUCACUGGCCCGAUACUGACGCUGAGGUGCGAAAGCGUGGGGAGCAAACAGG